AGAGUUUGAUCCUGGCUCAGAAUGAACGCUGGCGGCGUGCAUAACACAUGCAAGUCGAACGAGAAACCCCGGGCUUGCUCGGGGGAGUAAAGUGGCGCACGGGUGAGUAACGCGUGGGUAACCUACCUCUGAAUCUGGAAUAACUUCGCGAAAGCGUUGCUAAUACCGGAUAUUGUCCUUUGAACUGCGGUUCUUGGGAUGAAAGGUGACCUAUUCUUGAAAGUUGCCGUUCGGGGAUGGGCCCGCGUACCAUUAGCUAGUUGGUAGGGUAAUAGCCUACCAAGGCGAGGAUGGUUAGCUGGUCUGAGAGGAUGGCCAGCCACACUGGCACUGAAACACGGGCCAGACUCCUACGGGAGGCAGCAGUGAGGAAUCUUGCGCAAUGGGGGAAACCCUGACGCAGCAACGCCGCGUGAGCGAAGAAGGCCUUCGGGUCGUAAAGCUCUGUCUAGUGGGAAAAAAGUCCUGGUGUAAAUAGCUCCAGGAUCUGAUGGUACCGCUGGAGGAAGCACCGGCUAACUCCGUGCCAGCAGCCGCGGUAAUACGGAGGGUGCAAGCGUUGUUCGGAAUUAUUGGGCGUAAAGGGCGUGUAGGCGGUUUGGUAAGUCAGAUGUGAAAGCCCUGGGCUUAACCCAGGAAGUGCAUUUGAAACUACCAGACUUGAGUAUGGGAGAGGAGAGUGGAAUUCCCAGUGUAGAGGUGAAAUUCGUAGAUAUUGGGAGGAACAUCUGUGGCGAAGGCGACUCUCUGGACCAAUACUGACGCUGAGACGCGAAAGCGUGGGGAGCAAACAGGAUUAGAUACCCUGGUAGUCCACGCCGUAAACGAUGAGAACUAGGUGUAGCGGGUAUUGACCCCUGCUGUGCCGCAGCUAACGCAUUAAGUUCUCCGCCUGGGGAGUACGGCCGCAAGGCUAAAACUUAAAGGAAUUGACGG
This 936-nucleotide ribosomal RNA is filed under the name uncultured bacterium. RNAcentral's name for it is "bacterial SSU rRNA". It matches the Rfam family "Bacterial small subunit ribosomal RNA", at positions 8 to 916 of the family's 1533-position model. The record is from RNAcentral.